Non-coding RNA from Caenorhabditis elegans, 215 nucleotides. NCBI's taxonomy places the organism in Eukaryota, Metazoa, Nematoda, Chromadorea, Rhabditida, Rhabditidae. The record is from Ensembl.
GUGUAGGGAAUUUAUAAAUGUUUGAACUUUUAGUAUCUCAGGGAAUCCUCUAGGUUUAUGAAACUAUCCGGAAAAAAACAGAGAAACAUUUUGAAAACAUAUGAAAGUAUAUAUUCGAAAACUAUUGGGAUUCCCCCCACCCGCCCGUUCCCGAAAUAAAGACCAAGAAUUCAGAGUUUUGAGCAAUAGAAUUGUGUGUGUAAUGUGAUUCAGUU